This is a long non-coding RNA of Platichthys flesus (European flounder), 412 nucleotides long. RefSeq lists it as uncharacterized. NCBI's taxonomy places the organism in Eukaryota, Metazoa, Chordata, Actinopteri, Pleuronectiformes, Pleuronectidae. The record is from RefSeq and is a predicted model, not a curated record. The transcript has 3 exons.
UGAGGAGUCCUCUUUGUGUCGGAGAAGGGUCUGCAGCUCAGUAAUGCUGCCACUCAUUCUGGAUACCUUCAGACAAGAGACAUCUAUGUCAACAUACAUAUACAGUCAAACGUUGGACUAAAGUCAGCCCUGGUCUAGAUGUUCUUCACCUCCUGGAGAAGCUCCUGAAGAUGCUCAUCCUGACUCAGGUUCCCAUGUAGUCGUCUCUCCAGUGAAGUUACUUUCUUCUGAAGGUCCAACAACACCCGCUCCUUGUCCUCCUCCGUUACAGCAGCCUAAUGCUUCAGGGCAUCCUGGUCAGUCUGCAAAUCAUGGAGGGACUUCUCUAAAGCUGACACCAUACUCUGUGACUGAAAAGCCGAAUUGCCCACACUUGCAUGACCAAAAACGUGCCUUGACAAAUGAUCAAUGA